GGUCCUGAUUUGCAAAUAUGGCAAGAACUAAAAAAUACACAUGGUUUUUAUAGAAAGAAGCGAGGUAGGAAAAUGAAUGAUUUUAGUACAUAGUUUAAGAUUUAUUUUUUUCUUAAGGUAUUAUAAAGAUAUAAAAUGCCUUGAAAAGUCCCGUUAACACCAGUGCUGAAGUUUAAUUAAAAAGUGAAAACUUGUAUUAAUUUAGUUGAUUAAAUUUGGUUAACUUUGGUGCCAGCAUCCGCGGUUACACCAAGAAAUUAAGUCAUAUUUAAAUGGUAAAAAGACAGUUAGACAUUGAAUAUUCAAAGCUUUUUGACUUUUUAUAGAGAAGUAAAAUUUAUAUAUAAAUAUGUAAUUUAACAAUAGCUGUAAAGUUGAAUCCGUGAAAGCCCCGAGGGAAACUGGGAUUAGAUACCCCAUUAUUCCUGGCUAUAAAUAAAUUAAAAUUUACCGGAGUACUAUGAAUAUUAUAAAAUUUAAAACUCAAAGGACUUGGCGGUGUUUUAGACCAUUUAGGGGAACCUGUCUUGUAAUCGAUAAUCCACGUUAUACCUGACCUUUCUUUGCUUUCAGUUUGUAUAUCGUUGUCGUCAGGUAACUUUUUAGAAAUUAGAAGUUAGCUAAAAACAGUAAAUUUAAACGUCAAAUCAAGGUGCAGCUAAUAGAAAGGUAAAGAUGGGUUACAAUUAUUUUAGUUAUAAUUAACGGAAAAUCAUGCGAACUGAUGAUAGAGAAGGAGGACUUAAAAGUAAAUUAAAUUAUAUAAAUAAUUUGAAUAAGGCUCUGAAAUGUGCACACAUCGCCCGUCGCUCUUGUUGGAAAAUAAGAUAAGUCGUAACAUAGUAGGGGUAAUGGAAAUUGUCCCUAAACU
Molecule: non-coding RNA, 871 nt
Filed under: Unedogemmula unedo
Lineage: Eukaryota; Metazoa; Mollusca; Gastropoda; Neogastropoda; Turridae
Source: RNAcentral